Molecule: long non-coding RNA, 781 nt
Filed under: Homo sapiens (human)
Lineage: Eukaryota; Metazoa; Chordata; Mammalia; Primates; Hominidae
Description: HSALNT0394626
Source: RNAcentral
GUAAGACAUGACUCUGCUCCUCAUUCACCUUCCACCAUGAUUAUGAGGACUCCCCAGCCACGUGGAACUUCUGAAGGACCUGCCCAGGGGAAGAAGUAAACCACCUCUUACCUUUCCGACCAUCUCAGAACCACGAGGAAAUAGGAAGUGAGGCCUGGUAUGCAGAGGGACGACUCAAACAGGUGAUUAAGGAAUUAACCAGUCACUUGUUGGAGGAUAAUGCCUCAGUGAGCAAGAGGCAUCCCGAGUUCAUAGCAGACAAGGACGCCUGACAGCUCUGGUGGUCCCUGACAAGUCUGACACCCACGGAGAAGCCUGAGGGGACGAAGCUGGCCUGGGUGAUGGGCGCCAUGUUGGAUCCCAGGGAGGCAGGAAGGCACCAGGCAACGCCCCUGACUGGGAGUCAUCCCAGGCCAGCGUCUUCCUGUUUGCUCAGGAAGAAACAUUCAUUUUCUCUGGCCUCAGCCUCCUAAACUGAAAAAAAUAAUGUUGUUCCACUCUAAGAAUACUGCUGCGGGCUAAUUUAUUCAUGGCUGUGACACACAUAGCUUUCUUUAAAAUAAAGUCCCUGGUGUCAUUUUUAAUAGGGUCAUAAAUGCAACUCGAAGAAACUGUCUUUUUGCAUCUACCUGUGAUUGUUUCUUUGUAUCAGUCAGGGUAGUCUGGGUUAUUCUGUGGUAACAGGCAGUGCCCAAAUCUCACUGUUUUAAAACAAUGAAGGUUGUUGUAGGCUGAACUGUGUCUUCAGAUGUGGUCACAUUCUGAGGUGCAUAUGGAUUUU